GGGCCCGCACAAGCGGUGGAGCAUGUGGUUUAAUUCGAAGCAACGCGCAGAACCUUACCAACCCUUGACAUCCUGUGCCACUCCGAGAGAUCGGACGUUCCCUUCGGGGACGCAGUGACAGGUGCUGCAUGGCUGUCGUUAGCUCGUGUCGUGAGAUGUUCGGUUAAGUCCGGCAACGAGCGCAACCCACAUCCUUAGUUGCCAGCAGUUCGGCUGGGCACUCUAAGGAAACUGCCCGUGAUAAGCGGGAGGAAGGUGUGGAUGACGUCAAGUCCUCAUGGCCCUUACGGGUUGGGCUACACACGUGCUACAAUGGCCAGUACAAAGGGAAGCGAAGUUGUGAAACGGAGCAAAUCCUAUCAAAGCUGGUCUCAGUCCGGAUUGGAGUCUGCAACUCGACUCCAUGAAGU
This 410-nucleotide ribosomal RNA is filed under the name uncultured bacterium. Its description in RNAcentral is "bacterial SSU rRNA". It matches the Rfam family "Bacterial small subunit ribosomal RNA", at positions 917 to 1326 of the family's 1533-position model. The record is from RNAcentral.